AUUGAACGCUGGCGGCAUGCCUUACACAUGCAAGUCGAACGGUAACAGGUCUUCGGAUGCUGACGAGUGGCGAACGGGUGAGUAAUACAUCGGAACGUGCCUAGUAGUGGGGGAUAACUACUCGAAAGAGUGGCUAAUACCGCAUGAGAUCUACGGAUGAAAGCAGGGGAUCGCAAGACCUUGUGCUACUAGAGCGGCCGAUGGCUGAUUAGGUAGUUGGUGGGAUAAAAGCUUACCAAGCCGACGAUCUGUAGCUGGUCUGAGAGGACGAUCAGCCACACUGGGACUGAGACACGGCCCAGACUCCUACGGGAGGCAGCAGUGGGGAAUUUUGGACAAUGGGCGAAAGCCUGAUCCAGCAAUGCCGCGUGCAGGAUGAAGGCCUUCGGGUUGUAAACUGCUUUUGUACGGAACGAAAAGCCCCGGGUUAAUACCCUGGGGUCAUGACGGUACCGUAAGAAUAAGCACCGGCUAACUACGUACCAGCAGCCGCAGUAA
This 498-nucleotide ribosomal RNA is filed under the name uncultured bacterium. RNAcentral describes it as "partial 16S ribosomal RNA". It matches the Rfam family "Bacterial small subunit ribosomal RNA", at positions 30 to 523 of the family's 1533-position model. The record is from RNAcentral.